GUGGGGAAUAUUCCGCAAUGGACGAAAGUCUGACGGAGCAACGCCGCGUGAGUGAUGAAGGUUUUCGGACUGUAAAGCUCUGUUGUUUAGGACGAAAGUGCCUGUUGCAAAUAGUUACAGGUAUUGACGGUACUGAACGAGGAAGCCACGGCUAACUACGUGCCAGCAGCCGCGGUAAUACGUAGGUGGCAAGCGUUGUCCGGAAUUAUUGGGCGUAAAGAGCAUGUAGGCGGGAAUCUAAGUCUGUUGUGAAAAUGCGGGGCUCAACCCCGUAUUGCGAUGGAAGCUGGGUUUCUUGAGUGCAGGAGAGGAAAGGGGAAUUCCCAGUGUAGCGGUGAAAUGCGUAGAUAUUGGGAGGAACACCAGUGGCGAAGGCGCCUUUCUGGACUGUGUCUGACGCUGAGAUGCGAAAGCCAGGGUAGCGAACGGGAUUAGAUACCCUAGUAGUCC
RNAcentral lists this ribosomal RNA (450 nucleotides) under uncultured bacterium. Its description in RNAcentral is "partial 16S ribosomal RNA". It matches the Rfam family "Bacterial small subunit ribosomal RNA", at positions 354 to 796 of the family's 1533-position model. The record is from RNAcentral.